GAUGAACGCUGGCGGCGUGCCUAAUACAUGCAAGUCGAGCGAACAGAUAAGGAGCUUGCUCCUUUGACGUUAGCGGCGGACGGGUGAGUAACACGUGGGUAACCUACCUAUAAGACUGGAAUAACUCCGGGAAACCGGGGCUAAUGCCGGAUAACAUUUAGAACCGCAUGGUUCUAAAGUGAAAGAUGGUUUUGCUAUCACUUAUAGAUGGACCCGCGCCGUAUUAGCUAGUUGGUAAGGUAAUGGCUUACCAAGGCAACGAGACGUAGCCGACCUGAAAGGGUGAUCGGCCACACUGGAACUGAGACACGGUCCAGACUCCUACGGGAGGCAGCAGUAGGGAAUCUUCCGCAAUGGGCGAAAGCCUGACGGAGCAACGCCGCGUGAGUGAUGAAGGGUUUCGGCUCGUAAAACUCCGUUAUUAGGGAAGAACAAACGUGUAAGUAACUGUGCACGUCUUGACGGUACCUAAUCAGAAAGCCACGGCUAACUACGUGCCAGCCGCCGCGGUAA
This 513-nucleotide ribosomal RNA is filed under the name uncultured bacterium. RNAcentral's name for it is "partial 16S ribosomal RNA". It matches the Rfam family "Bacterial small subunit ribosomal RNA", at positions 28 to 523 of the family's 1533-position model. The record is from RNAcentral.